Molecule: transfer RNA, 75 nt
Filed under: Candidatus Aenigmatarchaeota archaeon
Lineage: Archaea; Nanobdellati; Candidatus Aenigmatarchaeota
Description: tRNA-Glu
Rfam family: tRNA
About the family: Transfer RNA (tRNA) molecules are approximately 80 nucleotides in length. Their secondary structure includes four short double-helical elements and three loops (D, anti-codon, and T loops). Further hydrogen bonds mediate the characteristic L-shaped molecular structure. tRNAs have two regions of fundamental functional importance: the anti-codon, which is responsible for specific mRNA codon recognition, and the 3' end, to which the tRNAs corresponding amino acid is attached (by aminoacyl-tRNA synthetases). tRNAs cope with the degeneracy of the genetic code in two manners: having more than one tRNA (with a specific anti-codon) for a particular amino acid; and 'wobble' base-pairing, i.e. permitting non-standard base-pairing at the 3rd anti-codon position.
Source: RNAcentral
GCUCCCAUCGUCUAGUCCGGUCAAGGAUACGGCCCUUUCGAGGCUGAGACUCGGGUUCAAAUCCCGGUGGGAGCA